AGCAGCCGCGGUAAUUCCAGCUCCAAUAGCGUAUAUUAAAGUUGUUGCAGUUAAAAAGCUCGUAGUUGAAUUUUGGACUUGAUCGAACGGUCCGUUCUUGUAACGAGUACUGGUCGUGUUGGGUCUCACCGCCUGGUGAUGCGUAAUGUCCUUUAUUGGGUGUUGCGAGUAGCCAGGACCUUUACCUUGAAAAAAUUAGAGUGUUUAAAGCAGGCAUAUGCCAGAAUACAUUAGCAUGGAAUAAUAGAAUAGGACGAUGAUUCUAUUUUGUUGGUUUCUAGGACCAUCGUAAUGAUUAAUAGGGAUAGUUGGGGGCAUUAGUAUUCAAUUGUCAGAGGUGAAAUUCUUGGAUUUAUUGAAGACUAACUACUGCGAAAGCAUUUGCCAAGGAUGUUUUC
This 398-nucleotide ribosomal RNA is filed under the name uncultured Glomeromycotina. Its description in RNAcentral is "SSU rRNA". It matches the Rfam family "Eukaryotic small subunit ribosomal RNA", at positions 569 to 971 of the family's 1831-position model. The record is from RNAcentral. Lineage: Eukaryota; Fungi; Glomeromycota.